GGCGUCGUAGCUCAGUUGGGAGAGCAGCAGACUGAAGUGUAUAAAAACAUUGUAUUCUGAAGGUCCUGUGUUCAAUCCACAGUGAUGCCA
Non-coding RNA from Crassisporium funariophilum, 90 nucleotides. NCBI's taxonomy places the organism in Eukaryota, Fungi, Basidiomycota, Agaricomycetes, Agaricales, Crassisporiaceae. The record is from the annotation of a GenBank genome assembly.